Molecule: long non-coding RNA, 205 nt
Filed under: Elaeis guineensis (African oil palm)
Lineage: Eukaryota; Viridiplantae; Streptophyta; Magnoliopsida; Arecales; Arecaceae
Description: long non-coding RNA (EGUI_LNC027084)
Source: RNAcentral
CCUCAAGAACUCAUCUGAACUCUAAGUCCUUUGAUUGUUCCUCUUCUAGUAAUUUUGGAUUCAUACUUACUCAAGACUCAAGUAACUAAUCUAUCUAAAAAAUAUGUCUCAUGCGCCAUUCAGUGAGCCCUAAUUUACAAGGCCCACUUGUUUUACUUUGCGGCACAUAAAGCUUCUCCUUUUGAACCCUGAUUGAUUGGCUACC